CCUACGGGAGGCAGCAGUGGGGAAUUUUGGAUAAUGGGCGCAAGCCUGAUCCAGCCAUUCCGCGUGAGUGAAGAAGGCCUUCGGGUUGUAAAGCUCUUUCGCAAGGGAAGAAACGUUACCGGUGAAUAUCCGGUGAUAAUGACGGUACCUUGAUAGGAAGCACCGGCUAACUACGUGCCAGCAGCCGCGGUAAU
RNAcentral lists this ribosomal RNA (194 nucleotides) under uncultured bacterium. RNAcentral's name for it is "partial 16S ribosomal RNA". It matches the Rfam family "Bacterial small subunit ribosomal RNA", at positions 338 to 524 of the family's 1533-position model. The record is from RNAcentral.